RNAcentral lists this ribosomal RNA (274 nucleotides) under uncultured bacterium. Its description in RNAcentral is "partial 16S ribosomal RNA". It matches the Rfam family "Bacterial small subunit ribosomal RNA", at positions 523 to 796 of the family's 1533-position model. The record is from RNAcentral.
AUACGGAGGGUGCAAGCGUUGUUCGGAAUCACUGGGCGUAAAGGGCGCGCAGGCGGUUUGGUAAGUCAGAUGUGAAAGCCUACGGCUCAACCGUGGAAGUGCAUUUGAAACUGCCAGACUUGAGUACCAGAGGGGAAAGUGGAAUUCCCGGUGUAGAGGUGAAAUUCGUAGAUAUCGGGAGGAAUACCGGUGGCGAAGGCGACUUUCUGGCUGGAUACUGACGCUGAGGCGCGAAAGCGUGGGGAGCAAACAGGAUUAGAAACCCCGGUAGUCC